GCCGAGGUAGCUCAGUGGUAGAGCAGCGGACUGCAGUUCCGAAGGUCACCAGUUCAAACCUGGUUCUCGGCU
Xylariaceae sp. FL0804 is the source of this 72-nucleotide non-coding RNA. The record is from the annotation of a GenBank genome assembly. Lineage: Eukaryota; Fungi; Ascomycota; Sordariomycetes; Xylariales; Xylariaceae.